RNAcentral lists this ribosomal RNA (473 nucleotides) under uncultured bacterium. Its description in RNAcentral is "bacterial SSU rRNA". It matches the Rfam family "Bacterial small subunit ribosomal RNA", at positions 328 to 792 of the family's 1533-position model. The record is from RNAcentral.
CUCUGUGACUCCUACGGGAGGCAGCAGUGGGGAAUAUUGCACAAUGGGGGAAACCCUGAUGCAGCCAUGCCGCGUGUGUGAAGAAGGCCUUCGGGUUGUAAAGCACUUUCAGUAGGGAGGAAGGUAGUGUAGUUAACACCUGCAUUAUUUGACGUUACCUACAGAAGAAGCACCGGCUAACUCCGUGCCAGCAGCCGCGGUAAUACGGAGGGUGCGAGCGUUAAUCGGAAUUACUGGGACGUAAAGCGCAUGCAGGCGGCCUGUUAAGUCAGAUGUGAAAGCCCCGGGGCUUAACCUCGGAAUUGCAUUUGAAACUGGCAGGCUAGAGUCUUGUAGAGGGGGUAGAAUUUCAGGUGUAGCGGUGAAAUGCGUAGAGAUCUGAAGGAAUACCAGUGGCGAAGGCGGCCCCCUGGACAAAGACUGACGCUCAGAUGCGAAAGCGUGGGGAGCAAACAGGAUUAGAUACCCUGGAG